GAUUAGAGGCAUUGGGGGCG
RNAcentral lists this small nuclear RNA (20 nucleotides) under Arabidopsis thaliana (thale cress). Its description in RNAcentral is "snRNA_17775". The record is from RNAcentral. Lineage: Eukaryota; Viridiplantae; Streptophyta; Magnoliopsida; Brassicales; Brassicaceae.